AUUGAACGCUGGCGGCAGGCCUAACACAUGCAAGUCGGGCGGAUGAAGGGAGCUUGCUCCUGGAUUCAGCGGCGGACGGGUGAGUAAUGCCUAGGAAUCUGCCUGGUAGUGGGGGAUAACGUCCGGAAACGGGCGCUAAUACCGCAUACGUCCUGAGGGAGAAAGUGGGGGAUCUUCGGACCUCACGCUAUCAGAUGAGCCUAGGUCGGAUUAGCUAGUUGGUGGGGUAAAGGCCUACCAAGGCGACGAUCCGUAACUGGUCUGAGAGGAUGAUCAGUCACACUGGAACUGAGACACGGUCCAGACUCCUACGGGAGGCAGCAGUGGGGAAUAUUGGACAACGGGCGAAAGCCUGAUCCAGCCAUGCCGCGUGUGUGAAGAAGGUCUUCGGAUUGUAAAGCACUUUAAGUUGGGAGGAAGGGCAGUAAGUUAAUACCUUGCUGUUUUGACGUUACCAACAGAAUAAGCACCGGCUAACUUCGUG
Molecule: ribosomal RNA, 484 nt
Filed under: uncultured bacterium
Lineage: Bacteria
Description: partial 16S ribosomal RNA
Rfam family: Bacterial small subunit ribosomal RNA
Source: RNAcentral